GCUGGGCGCGGUGGCACACGCCUGUAAUCCUAGCAACUCGGGAAGCUGAAGUAGGAGGAUUGAAAGUUCAAAGCCAGCCUCAA
This 83-nucleotide small RNA is filed under the name Marmota monax (woodchuck). Lineage: Eukaryota; Metazoa; Chordata; Mammalia; Rodentia; Sciuridae. The record is from RNAcentral.